AGCGAACGCUGGCGGCAGGCUUAACACAUGCAAGUCGAGCGGGCGUAGCAAUACGUCAGCGGCAGACGGGUGAGUAACGCGUGGGAACAUACCUUUUGGUUCGGAACAACACAGGGAAACUUGUGCUAAUACCGGAUAAGCCCUUACGGGGAAAGAUUUAUCGCCGAAAGAUUGGCCCGCGUCUGAUUAGCUAGUUGGUGAGGUAAUGGCUCACCAAGGCGACGAUCAGAGCUGGUCUGAGAGGAUGAUCAGCCACAUUGGGACU
RNAcentral lists this ribosomal RNA (265 nucleotides) under uncultured bacterium. RNAcentral describes it as "partial 16S ribosomal RNA". It matches the Rfam family "Bacterial small subunit ribosomal RNA", at positions 29 to 320 of the family's 1533-position model. The record is from RNAcentral.